Molecule: ribosomal RNA, 246 nt
Filed under: uncultured bacterium
Lineage: Bacteria
Description: partial 16S ribosomal RNA
Rfam family: Bacterial small subunit ribosomal RNA
Source: RNAcentral
GAUCCUGGCUCAGGAUGAACGCUGGCGGCGUGCCUAACACAUGCAAGUCGAACGGACUUACAUUGAAGCCUAGCGAUAUGUAAGUUAGUGGCGGACGGGUGAGUAACGCGUGGGUAACCUGCCUUGUACUGGGGGACAACAGUUGUAAACGACUGCUAAUACCGCAUAAACGCACAGCUUCGCAUGAAGCGGUGUGAAAAACUCCGGUGGUACAAGAUGGACCCGCGUCUGAUUAGCUGGUUGGUG